UUGGGGAUUGCAGGAGAGAUAUGGGGGCUUCUAACCUUUGUAUGAGCAGUUCGAGUCUGUUCGUUCCUU
Molecule: transfer RNA, 69 nt
Filed under: Latona dysoni
Lineage: Eukaryota; Metazoa; Arthropoda; Branchiopoda; Diplostraca; Sididae
Description: tRNA-Ser
Source: RNAcentral